RNAcentral lists this unclassified non-coding RNA (331 nucleotides) under soil metagenome. RNAcentral describes it as "partial contains 5.8S ribosomal RNA, internal transcribed spacer 2, and large subunit ribosomal RNA". The stretch from base 1 to 120 matches the Rfam family "5.8S ribosomal RNA", at positions 35 to 154 of the family's 154-position model. The record is from RNAcentral.
GAUGAAGAACGCAGCGAAAUGCGAUAAGUAAUGUGAAUUGCAGAAUUCAGUGAAUCAUCGAAUCUUUGAACGCACAUUGCGCCCCCUGGUAUUCCGGGGGGCAUGCCUGUUCGAGCGUCAUUUCACCACUCAAGCCUCGCUUGGUAUUGGGCAUCGCGGUCCGCCGCGCGCCUCAAAUCGACCGGCUGGGUCUUCUGUCCCCUAAGCGUUGUGGAAACUAUUCGCUAAAGGGUGUUCGGGAGGCUACGCCGUAAAACAACCCCAUUUCUAAGGUUGACCUCGGAUCAGGUAGGGAUAUCCGCUGAACUUAAGCAUAUCAAUAAGCGGAGGA